AUGCACCUACGGGGGGCAGCAGUGAGGGAUAUUGGUCAAUGGGGGAAACCCUGAACCAGCAACGCCGCGUGAGGGAAGACGGUUUUCGGAUUGUAAACCUCUGUCCUCUGUGAAGAUAAUGACGGUAGCAGAGGAGGAAGCUCCGGCUAACUACGUGCCAGCAGCCGCGGUAUUACGUAGGGAGCAAGCGUUGUCCGGAUUUACUGGGUGUAAAGGGUGCGUAGGCGGCCUUGCAAGUCAGAAGUGAAAUCCAU
This 254-nucleotide ribosomal RNA is filed under the name uncultured bacterium. RNAcentral's name for it is "partial 16S ribosomal RNA". It matches the Rfam family "Bacterial small subunit ribosomal RNA", at positions 333 to 604 of the family's 1533-position model. The record is from RNAcentral.